This 1438-nucleotide ribosomal RNA is filed under the name uncultured organism. RNAcentral's name for it is "16S ribosomal RNA". It matches the Rfam family "Bacterial small subunit ribosomal RNA". The record is from RNAcentral.
CAGGCUUAACACAUGCAAGUCGAGGGGCAUCAGGAAGAAAGCUUGCUUUCUUUGCUGGCGACCGGCGCACGGGUGAGUAACACGUAUCCAACCUGCCCUUUACUCGGGGAUAGCCUUUCGAAAGAAAGAUUAAUACCCGAUAGCAUAAUGAUUCCGCAUGGUUUCAUUAUUAAAGGAUUCCGGUAAAGGAUGGGGAUGCGUUCCAUUAGGUUGUUGGUGAGGUAACGGCCCACCAAGCCUUCGAUGGAUAGGGGUUCUGAGAGGAAGGUCCCCCACAUUGGAACUGAGACACGGUCCAAACUCCUACGGGAGGCAGCAGUGAGGAAUAUUGGUCAAUGGGCGCUAGCCUGAACCAGCCAAGUAGCGUGAAGGAUGAAGGCUCUAUGGGUCGUAAACUUCUUUUAUAUAAGAAUAAAGUGCAGUAUGUAUACUGUUUUGUAUGUAUUAUAUGAAUAAGGAUCGGCUAACUCCGUGCCAGCAGCCGCGGUAAUACGGAGGAUCCGAGCGUUAUCCGGAUUUAUUGGGUUUAAAGGGAGCGUAGGUGGACUGGUAAGUCAGUUGUGAAAGUUUGCGGCUCAACCGUAAAAUUGCAGUUGAUACUGUCAGUCUUGAGUACAGUAGAGGUGGGCGGAAUUCGUGGUGUAGCGGUGAAAUGCUUAGAUAUCACGAAGAACUCCGAUUGCGAAGGCAGCUCACUGGACUGCAACUGACACUGAUGCUCGAAAGUGUGGGUAUCAAACAGGAUUAGAUACCCUGGUAGUCCACACAGUAAACGAUGAAUACUCGCUGUUUGCGAUAUACAGUAAGCGGCCAGGCGAAAGCAUUAAGUGUUCCACCUGGGGAGUACGCCGGCAACGGUGAAACUCAAAGGAAUUGACGGGGGCCCGCACAAGCGGAGGAACAUGUGGUUUAAUUCGAUGAUACGCGAGGAACCUUACCCGGGCUUAAAUUGCAGUGGAAUGAUGUGGAAACAUGUCAGUGAGCAAUCACCGCUGUGAAGGUGCUGCAUGGUUGUCGUCAGCUCGUGCCGUGAGGUGUCGGCUUAAGUGCCAUAACGAGCGCAACCCUUAUCUUUAGUUACUAACAGGUUAUGCUGAGGACUCUAGAGAGACUGCCGUCGUAAGAUGUGAGGAAGGUGGGGAUGACGUCAAAUCAGCACGGCCCUUACGUCCGGGGCUACACACGUGUUACAAUGGGGGGUACAGAAGGCAGCUAGCGGGUGACCGUAUGCUAAUCCCAAAAUCCUCUCUCAGUUCGGAUCGAAGUCUGCAACCCGACUUCGUGAAGCUGGAUUCGCUAGUAAUCGCGCAUCAGCCACGGCGCGGUGAAUACGUUCCCGGGCCUUGUACACACCGCCCGUCAAGCCAUGGGAGCCGGGGGUACCUGAAGUACGUAACCGCAAGGAUCGUCCUAGGGUAAAACUGGUGACUGGGGCUAA